GACUGGGUGUAGAUACGGCCUCUCGCCCAGAAGCCAGCUCCGAUUGGCUGAGAUGCUCCGAUGCGCUGUGAGGUCAUCCGUACUGCGACAGAGUCGGCCGUCUAGGGGCAGCCGGCGUCAGGUGUUUGUGCUCUGCGGGCGGUCCUAGGUCUGUCGUGGUCGUGUCGUGGCGGUAAGAGGCCUGCUCACACGGCGCCGCGUUCCCGGAGUUUGGAACCCAGGCUUGGUGUCCCACAAAACCAGAAAUGAGAAGUCUUAGCGAGAUCCCCACUUUACAGUGAGAAAUGGAGCCCUCUGUGGAGUCUCCACAUCAGAAACCGGAGGCUGCGUCGAGCUCUGACUUGUUGCCCCCUGUCAGCCCUCCUGGGUCCUUUCCAGCAUCACAAGACACAGAAGUCCUAGGGCAGCAGGGACACUCUUGGCGCCUCCCACCUGCAUGUCCACCUCAGGCUGUGCCCUCUUCGGCCUCGGCUGGAGUCAAAGUCAAGGAUGACCUUGAAAUUCCGAUCUUCCUGACAGCCCCUCCUGGUGCUGGGAUCACAGGUGUGCACCACUGUGUAAUGUGUCUGGUUUGUGUGUCCUGGGGAAGGGACCCAGAGCUGUGCGCUGGCUGGGCAAGUGCUUGACCCACUGAGUUUCAGCCCACAUUGAUACUUUGACAGUAACAAUGAAGAGAGGUAGAGAAGCCACGUCAGUAGAGAGUGAGAAACAAAACUCAAAGAGCCAAGAGACGAGAAAAGAGAAACAGAAAAGACAGAACCAGUAGAAAACAGAAAGAAAAGAGCCUGACCAACCUCAAGCCAGAGAAACCCCGUCUCUCUGACUCUCCAUGCGUUGUUUUGAGACAGGGUCUUUCACCGAACCAGAAACUCACCAGUUGACUAGACCAGCUGCUUAGGGAGUUACAGGGAUCCUUGUGUCUCCACCUCCCUCCCCAGCACUGGGGUGGCAAGCACCCUCUGCAGGCCUGGUUUCACAAGGUUACUGGAGAUCCAAACUCAGAUUCUCUUGCUCAAGCAGUCUGCUCUUUAUUCACGCAACCGUCUUCCCAGGCCAUCACCUCAAUUUAAAUAAACAAAACAAUGCUGAGUGCAGCCAAAAACAAAAUCUCAGAAACAAUGAAACAAAACCAAACUCCCAAAGGUCUGGAGAGACGCCUCAGCAGUUAAGAGCGCUGACUGCCCUGGACCCAGGCUCAAUCCCCAGCACCUGAAUGGUGGCUCACAACCAUCUGCUCUAGUUCCAGGCAUGCUCGUACUGGGAACCCUAGGGUCUCCAAAGAAGACAGAUGGGACAUGACCAUUCCACUGGAUUGUGGCAAUGCUAACCACUGGGCAAAACUGCCCCAUAUCUCGCCUGCCACCAGGGUCCUGCACAAGCUGUGGACACUGUUGGAUUGAUUGCUCUGCUCUGCCUCGUCACAGUAAUGUGAGUCCCCCAGGUUCCUCCUCCACAGGAAAAUUUCUCAGACCUGGGUCUGGUAGGUAGCCUAAGGCUGAUGCUGUCCUGUAUGACAGCUGAAGACCCAAGUCCGCUGCCCCCAGUGAAGCCAUUGAGCCCAUGGGAGCCUAGGGCAGCUGUCUAGGUAGUAGGUGAUUAACACAUAGGCCAUUUGGAUGGUACUUCCUGCUAUGAUUUAUCCUUCUCAGAUCUCUGAUGAUAUUGACAGCUAACUGGCACUUCAUUAAUUCACCAGCUGCUGCCUGAUCAAUGCAUUUCACAUAUAAAAACCAGGCUUUACUUUUCUAGAACAAUUAGGUCACCUAAUAAAAAAGGCAAACUCACACACAGGUUUGCCUUACUAACAGGCUUCAUAUUAAAGGAUGAACAGGUUUCACAUGUAACUUUUACUAUUUAAAGGAACUUGCUUUGCAAAGACUGCUCUCAGUAAUCAAUAGCUUAUGUAUAUCUAAUGGUAAAUAGUUGGAUAAAAAAGUUUAAGGUUUAUAUAAAUUACAAAGGUCUAAAAAUAAUUUAAAUUAUAAACUUCUGAGGAUAUAAAGUCUAAAUAAGUUAUGACAAAUUACAAACAAUGAUAAUGUAAGCUUCCAGGAAUCGAGAAAGUCAUAAGACUUGAAUCCACCUCUCACAGGUCAAAUGGACUCCAGGUAAAUGCUCCUGUCAACCAUCAGCCUGAGCUGCCUAUUCCUGAGAGGGAAGCUCCAAAUAUAAAGGUUUUCUUUAAUUCUUUACCUUUAAAUUCUGUCGCUGGUCUGUAUCUGUCUUGGCAGAGUGCAAUUUAGCUGGCAGACACCGUCCAGAAAUCAGCUUCCGACUACAAACUUCUCCAAAAGUGAUCUACACCAUCCCAGCCCCAGGUACUUCUAUGAAACUGGAAAUCCCUGGACUGGCUACAAGCUGAUGUGAAGCAGUCCAGUAGCUAUGAUUGCUCCCUGACUCUUCAGCUGGGUCAGCAAGCCAGAUGCUUCUGAUGAAUGCCCCAUUGCCUGAAUCCCCUCCUGGCCUUUGACUAACAUUCCAGCCUUCCUGGGCCUUGACAUUGGUGUCCUAAUUUCAACAGGAAGUAGUUACAGAGGAGAGUACAGCAUCCCUUGUCCUUAAUGAAGGGCUGGAGUAUUAGGUCCAAGGAAAUUCCCUGGCAAAGGGACAAAAUGGCUACUUAAAGUACCUAUUGGCAUACCAAGAGUGUAUUGCCUGAAAAUAUUUGUUCUAGCUGGGCGGUGGUGGCUCAUGCCUUUAAUCCCAGCACUUGGGAGGCAGAGGCAGGUGGAUCUCUGUGAGUUUGAGGCCAGUCUGGUCUACAAAGCAAGUUCCAGGGCAGCCAGAGCUACACAGAGAAACCCUGUCUCAAACAACAACAACAACAAAAAAGUUUCUAUUUAUGAUAACCAAACAGGUAUAAUUUAUGCAUUAUAAAUUUUAUCCCCCUCCCCCCAAAUAAAGACUGCUAGGACCUUAUCGAGGAUUUGACAGGGACAUAUAAGACAAGGGGGAAUGAAUGAACCAGCCUACCUCCAUUUUAGGCUUAAAAGCCAUCUUAUAGUAAAGAAAAACCAGGUUCAUUUCUGUUUAUGAUUAAACCUGUUUCUCAAGGAUUGGGCUGUGCCCCACCUGUAACCUUAUAACUACAAAUUGUUCUGAACUGCUUGUUCCAGGAAUGACAACCAUGUCUUUGUUUCAAAAAGUUGUUAUAACCAUAUUGCAAUCCUACCUUUGUUUCAAAAGGUUCUAUGACCACCUUGUUAUGACCCACCACCUUGCAACCAUGUCUCUGUUUCAGGCGAUCAUUAGGAACAACUUGUUAUGAUGUUCUGCUCCUGGAACCCCGCCUAUUUUGCCUAGCAAAUCCCCCAUUUGGAAACCCCCUACCCUUGAGCUAUAAAAUCCUUGUCUUCCUCACAUCCAUGCUGACCUCUCUAAUCCUGCCUUAGGGGGAGGCAGCCUGUGUAUACGAAUAAAAAAGCUUGUUUUAAUUA
This is a long non-coding RNA of Peromyscus californicus insignis, 3437 nucleotides long. RefSeq lists it as uncharacterized. Lineage: Eukaryota; Metazoa; Chordata; Mammalia; Rodentia; Cricetidae. The transcript has 4 exons. The record is from RefSeq and is a predicted model, not a curated record.